RNAcentral lists this ribosomal RNA (215 nucleotides) under uncultured bacterium. RNAcentral's name for it is "partial 16S ribosomal RNA". It matches the Rfam family "Bacterial small subunit ribosomal RNA", at positions 118 to 351 of the family's 1533-position model. The record is from RNAcentral.
UGGGAACGUGCCUUCCGGUUCGGGAUAACCCAGGGAAACUUGGGCUAAUACCGGAUACGCCCUUCGGGGGAAAGAUUCAUUGCCGAAAGAUCGGCCCGCGUCGGAUUAGCUUGUUGGUGGGGUAAUGGCUACCAAGGCGACGAUCCGUAGCUGGUCUGAGAGGAUGACCAGCCACACUGGGACUGAGACACGGCCCAGACUCCUACGGGAGGCAG